This 752-nucleotide ribosomal RNA is filed under the name uncultured bacterium. Its description in RNAcentral is "bacterial SSU rRNA". It matches the Rfam family "Bacterial small subunit ribosomal RNA", at positions 8 to 796 of the family's 1533-position model. The record is from RNAcentral.
AGAGUUUGAUCAUGGCUCAGAAUCAACGCUGGCGGCGCGCUUAACACAUGCAAGUCGCACGAGAAAGGGAGCAAUCCUAAGUAAAGUGGCGCACGGGUGAGUAACACGUGGAUCAUCUACCUUUUAGUGGGGAAUACCUCUGGGAAACCGGAGACAAUACCGCAUAAGCCCGCAAGGGGAAAGCAGCAAUGCGCUGAAAGAGGAGUCCGCGGCCGAUUAGCUAGUUGGCGGGGUAAUGGCCCACCAAGGCGAAGAUCGGUAGCCGGCCUGAGAGGGCACACGGCCACACUGGCACUGAAACACGGGCCAGACUCCUACGGGAGGCAGCAGUGGGGAAUCUUGCACAAUGGACGAAAGUCUGAUGCAGCGACGCCGCGUGAGCGAUGAAGCCCUUCGGGGUGUAAAGCUCUUUCGACGGGAACGAUAAUGACGGUACCCGGAGAAGAAGCUGCGGCUAACUACGUGCCAGCAGCCGCGGUAAUACGUAGGCAGCGAGCGUUGUUCGGAAUUACUGGGCGUAAAGAGUGUGUAGGCGGUGUUCCCAGUCUGUUGUGAAAUCUCCCGGCUUAACUGGGAGGGUGCAGCGGAAACUAGAAUGCUAGAGGGUGGGAGAGGUAAGCGGAAUUCCUGGUGUAGCGGUGAAAUGCGUAGAUAUCAGGAGGAACACCUGGUGUAGACAGCUUACUGGACCACUUCUGACGCUGAGACACGAAAGCGUGGGUAGCAAACAGGAUUAGAUACCCCUGUAGUCC